RNAcentral lists this non-coding RNA (29 nucleotides) under Mus musculus (house mouse). The record is from RNAcentral. Lineage: Eukaryota; Metazoa; Chordata; Mammalia; Rodentia; Muridae.
UGAACCUACAAGUCCUCUUCCUCCUCGUA